CGUGACCAUGAGAGGUUUACUUGCUCUCUUUCCUCACAGUGACCACCGGCCUCUUCAUAGAGGGAGUCCCCAGGUCCUCUGUGUCACUCAUGUCUGCAUUCACGCAUCACAGUGACUCUGACAUGGUCCUGAGAGGAGGGCAUUAGGAAGGUUCUGUGGGCAGAGAGGAUCAUCCAACUAAAAAGAGGCUCAAACUCCUCACACAGGGCAAUGAGGAAGUAUGAGCAAAAAGGCUCAAAAUGGAACGCAAUGGUAAUGUAGGAGCCCUUGACAGACCACCGUGACGGGACUGACAGAGCCUCCAUAUCUGCAAAGGGACAGACCACUGUGAUGGGACUGACGGAACUUCUGUAUCUGCAAAGGACAGACCACUCUGGUGGGAAUGACAGCUUCCGUAUCCAUGAAGGCAUGGAUAACCCAGGAGCAAAGACAAACAGAAUUCCCUUUCCACUGAGGUUCUACUAACGUGCUCUAGCUCUCAGAUGUGGUUUCUGCAGCCACCUCUGGGAGAGGGUCCUGUACAGCUGACUUCAUGGGGCCUGAUGAGGUGCCAGGGGACCAUGGCCUGGAGCCCAGACUGAGCAAGCUGUCUGAAGGCUUGUCAAACUGCAGUUCUCACCAUUUCUAAGCAUGAGAAGACAGUCUGAGGGGACGCCUCCUCUACUCUUCUAAUACAGUUCUUAGUUCUGCA
Rattus norvegicus (Norway rat) is the source of this 691-nucleotide non-coding RNA. Lineage: Eukaryota; Metazoa; Chordata; Mammalia; Rodentia; Muridae. The record is from RefSeq and is a predicted model, not a curated record.